This 505-nucleotide ribosomal RNA is filed under the name uncultured bacterium. RNAcentral describes it as "partial 16S ribosomal RNA". It matches the Rfam family "Bacterial small subunit ribosomal RNA", at positions 28 to 507 of the family's 1533-position model. The record is from RNAcentral.
GACGAACGCUGGCGGCGUGCCUAAUACAUGCAAGUAGAACGCACAGUUUAUACCGUAGCUUGCUACACCAUAGACUGUGAGUUGCGAACGGGUGAGUAACGCGUAGGUAACCUGCCUGGUAGCGGGGGAUAACUAUUGGAAACGAUAGCUAAUACCGCAUAAUAUUAAUUAUUGCAUGAUAAUUAAUUGAAUGGUGCAAUUGCACCACUACCAGAUGGACCUGCGUUGUAUUAGCUAGUAGGUGAGGUAACGGCUCACCUAGGCGACGAUACAUAGCCGACCUGGGGGGGUGAUCGGCCACACUGGGACUGGGACACGGCCCAGACUCCUACGGGAGGCAGCAGUAGGGAAUCUUCGGCAAUGGACGAAAGUCUGACCGAGCAACGCCGCGUGAGUGAAGAAGGUUUUCGGAUCGUAAAGCUCUGUUGUAAGAGAAGAACGGGUGUGAGAGUGGAGAGUUCACACUGUGACGGUAUCUUACCAGAAAGGGACGGCUAACUACGUG